UGAGAUAUCUUGAAAUCUCUAACAGUCGCUUCAAACCCUUGUCUUUAUACAUCCGCGUGCAAUUUUCUUCAUAUCUCACAAAAUAUAAGCUCAAAUGCCAUGAAAUUUAUAUGCAUAGCUUCUUAAUACAAAAUUUUACAUUCUCCAAAAAGUUUGAGCCAAAAAUUCAUCCGAAAACUCAAGUCAUGGCUUCAACCAUUACUACAAACAAACCCGCUUAUUUACUGCUUUUGAUUUGGAAGCGUCGCCUUCAACUCCUUACAACUCUUUCAUAUGAACUCCAAAAGCAAUAAUUCUUUCGUAAAAGACGUGGGCCUU
This 318-nucleotide long non-coding RNA is filed under the name Physcomitrium patens. RNAcentral describes it as "long non-coding RNA (PPAT_LNC014870)". Lineage: Eukaryota; Viridiplantae; Streptophyta; Bryopsida; Funariales; Funariaceae. The record is from RNAcentral.